RNAcentral lists this ribosomal RNA (493 nucleotides) under Ectyoplasia tabula. RNAcentral describes it as "eukaryotic LSU rRNA". The record is from RNAcentral. Lineage: Eukaryota; Metazoa; Porifera; Demospongiae; Axinellida; Raspailiidae.
UUGAAAAGAAACUUGGAGAGAGAGUCAAAGAGACCGCGAAACCGUUGGGAGGGAAACGAAUGUGGCCAGCACGAUUCCUUUCGGGUUCAUGGCGUCUCGGUUCGGGCGUUGUACCGCGAGAGAACCCACUCCGGGUCUCCCCGUUGCAAGCUCGUCGAGGUUCUCGCAUUCCCGUCAGGGGUCCGCCAACGGCGGUCGCGUGCGGUCCAGCAGGGUAGCGGGGUAGGUGCCUUCCUCCUCUCGUAGGUGGGGAGAGCUUACAGCCCGCUGUUCGGCGAUCGCAGGUGACCGAGGAGCGUGGCGACCAGUUCGCACGGGUGAGCGCAGGCCGUUCGGGGCCGGGUCGCUCGCGGGCCUGCGUGCUUCGAGGCGUGUCACUGCGAGCAGUGACCGUCGACGUUUUUAAAGCGCGCUCGCCUGGGAGACCGACCACGAUGUGCGCUGUGGUCGUUGGUGUACGCUUGGCUCCAUCCGACCCGUCUUGAAACACGGA